RNAcentral lists this transfer RNA (67 nucleotides) under Diprioninae sp. GYN-2022c. RNAcentral describes it as "tRNA-Asp". Lineage: Eukaryota; Metazoa; Arthropoda; Insecta; Hymenoptera; Diprionidae. The record is from RNAcentral.
AAAGAAUUAAUUUAUCAAAAAUAAUAGUUAGUCAAACUAUAAAAAUUAGAGUAUCUAAUAUUCUUUU